UGGGGAAUAUUGCACAAUGGGCGAAAGCCUGAUGCAGCAACGCCGCGUGAGUGAUGAAGGCCUUCGGGUUGUAAAGCUCUGUCUUUUGGGACGAUAAUGACGGUACCAAAGGAGGAAGCCACGGCUAACUACGUGCCAGCAGCCGCGGUAAUACGUAGGUGGCAAGCGUUGUCCGGAUUUACUGGGCGUAAAGGAUGCGUAGGCGGAUUUUUAAGUGAGAUGUGAAAACCCUAAGCUUAACUUGGGGACUGCAUUUCAUACUGGGAAAAUCUAGAGUGCGGGAGAGGAGAAUGGAAUUCCUAGUGUAGCGGUGAAAUGCGUAGAGAUUAGGAAGAACACCAGUGGCGAAGGCGAUUCUCUGGACCGUAACUGACGCUGAGGCAUGAAAGCGUGGGUAGCAAAACAGGAUUAGAUACCCUGGUAGUCCACGCCGUAAAACGAUGAGUACUAGGUGUAGGAGGUAUCGACCCCUUCUGUGCCGCAGUUAACACAAUAAGUACUCCGCCUGGGGAAGUACGAUCGCAAGAUUAAAACUCAAAUGAAUUGACGGGGUCAUAGCUGUUUCCU
RNAcentral lists this ribosomal RNA (567 nucleotides) under uncultured bacterium. Its description in RNAcentral is "partial 16S ribosomal RNA". It matches the Rfam family "Bacterial small subunit ribosomal RNA", at positions 355 to 1375 of the family's 1533-position model. The record is from RNAcentral.